UAGCAGGACCCCAAGUGGUAGUCGUUAUUAUUGGGCUUAAAGUGUUCGUAGCCUGCCAUGCAAGUCCGCUGUGAAAUCCACGCGCUCAACGUGUGGGCGUGCAGCGGAUACUGUAUGGCUAGGGACCGGACGGCGUUGAGGCUAUUCCCGGGGUAGGAGUGAAAUCCUAAAAUCCUGGGAGGAGCACCUGUGGCGAAAGCGCUCAACGAGUACGGAUCCGACGGUGAGGAACGAAAGCCAGGGGAGCAAAGCGG
This 254-nucleotide ribosomal RNA is filed under the name uncultured bacterium. Its description in RNAcentral is "partial 16S ribosomal RNA". It matches the Rfam family "Archaeal small subunit ribosomal RNA", at positions 474 to 727 of the family's 1478-position model. The record is from RNAcentral.